GCCCCGCGGGCUCCCGGCCGCAGCCUCACCCGCUGCCCGAGAGCUCCGAGCGAGGGUUUCGUUUCUCGUGUGUUGCUAUUUUUCUAUCUCCGCACAAAGAGAGCCCUUCUCUCAGACAAAGCAUCCGGCCGCGCUACCCGGGAGGACGACGGGCGCUCGGACUCCGCGGUCGGUGUCGCUCCGGGUUGGCUGGGGGGCAUUAUGUGCUCGGGGCGACCCUCUCCUGCUGGGGAAAGCGCGGCCGGCAGGUGCCUGGGGAGCGGCACGGACCCGACGGCACCGCUCUCCGCCUCCUCCCCGCCCGGCUUCGGCCGCGCUACAAAGUGCGAUGGGGCGGCCGCAGGAGAAAGGAGCGGAGCAACGGUUUGUCCCGCAUUGGUUCUCGUUUCUCCGAAAGCCUGUGGUGCUUUCCUCAUGGAGUCGGACGGGAAUGUGGCUCGGAGAUGUCUUUCUGCUUUUCUACCCUCAUCUACUGUCGUUCUGUGAAUAAAGAGUACGGCAGCAUGUAGGCUCACUAAGCAUUUUCAUACAGCCCCUGCAAAGAACUGAGAUGCACUGCACUGUAAAAUACCGUUCACGCUGCAGAGCAGCAGAUAAAGAGAUCCCUCUGUGCUAACCUCGCACGCUGCGAGCAGCAGGGAUUGAGCCAAAAGGAACGAACAUUCCCCGCCGUCAGGCUGUCCCAGACACUGACCCGACCUUCCCACACCACCGGGAUGGUGCUCGGUGAGUGACACCUAUGGAGCCCCUCACCUACCGCCCGGAUGGUGAGGGAACCAAAUUCCAUCACAUCAGCCUUAGGGACAUCCCUAGGAAAAGCUGAUUUCCUCGGCUGGUUCGUGCAGAAGCUCGGGGAGAUGCACUGGUUGCAGGCAGGACACCAGAUGCAGUGUGCCACAGCCACAGCAUCACAACUCGGAGUUCCCUGAUUUCCCAGCACCGAGCUGGUGGGAAAAAUGAAUAGACCUCAAACUGAAAGAUAGAUACAGGUGUAAGAUAGACUCAGCUAAUUGAAAAGCUAUCUGCUCUGACAGACUGGUUUAAACUAAUUACACGAUGUAGUGCAUGCUGCCACCUACGCCUUAUGAAUCAGGUUUCUUGUACUGCAGCUCAGCAUCUGCACGCAUCCCUGUGAGACUCCACGAGGGACCGCAAACCCAGGCAGCCACGGCCAUGCUGGGGAACGAGGCAGAGCAUUUCCCACCUGCUCAGCUGCAGCGAGGAUGCCUCAGUGCCGAUGAGAAAGCGGCAGCAAAACGCGAGUAGUGGCUGGAGCCUCAUCUGUACCGCAGCUCCUGCCAGCACAGCUGUACCACUGACAGCAGCGGAACAUUUUGCUCAAGUUCUCUAGAGGAAUCAAAGCCUGUAUUUUCUGUCUCUGGCUCUCUCUUGUUCUGUUGUUCCUCGUUCUUUAGAAAAAAAAAAUAAAUCAGCCACACGCAGCACGUGGCUGCUCGCUGUGUUUGGGGAAAAAAAAAUGCUUGGGGGAAGGAAAAAAAACAGCCCAAGCUGUUUUGAAAUCAGUAGCGUGUAAACAGUACCUGGAACUGGGGGGAACAAUGAUAUUAAUUAGUACUUCGGUGUCAUAAAUAUGUGCAUCGCUGCCUGCUGUUUCAAUACGAGAGAGCACAACUUCUGUGAUGGAGCUUGGAGAGUGUUUGGGGAAUGGCACCACUAAUGCCUCCUCCAGCUCUUAUGUAACUGACAUCACAAGUCAGAGCCCAAAUUGCAAAGCAUAAGCAUGUGCAUCAUAUUAAGCAUGUAAACAGUGCCUUAAAUUACUGUCCUUUUACUGAUGGUCUGGCUUUAAUCUACUGCUAUUUUUAGUUCCUCAGUUCCGUUCAUUUCAAUAUGCAGUGGUUCCCUUCAACAGCACACCAUGAAAAUGUUCAUCCAAACUGAAAUAAUUCAGCCCAAACCUCUUUGGCUACAGGUAAAUAUAGUCUAAAUGAUUUGUACACCGGGCCUACAGCAUAUCCAGUAGUAUGAUGCUAUAGAAAGCCAGGAUACAACACUGCUGUGCUUUGCACAUCACCCAGUGUGGCUGGGUUUUUCACACCUGUCCAAGGCACAGCUUAGCAGUGUUUUUCCUUUGUGUUCUGCCUCCUUCCUACAGAACAUAUUCCCCAUUUGCACGCAGAUCUCCUGUCUGGAGUUUUAAGGUGUUAGGUGCUGAUGUUGUGAGCACCUCUUGUAUCUGUUUAAUCCAAUAACAGAUCUUGUCUUUAAUCUCCACGUCUGGGUCACAGGUUUUAAAAAAGACACUGGGCCAAAUCCCCAGCUUGGCUCUAGCGUGUGGAAAUCUACUGAGAUGGCACAGGAGUUGGGAGAGAUUCGCUGUGUCUGCACCAUGGGAAGGAAGUCUCAAGGGGCAGAGAUGGGACUGCCUCACUUUGCACAUGGAUGCGUAUUAAUGCAAGCGUAUGGCAGAGGGGAGGACUGGUCCCUGAGAAAUACUCUGCAGCAUUUGUCCUGUGCAAAAAUCCACGUUUGUGCCCUUCUUAAUGCUGCAGAAGGAAAUCCAAUGACUGUGCUUCCCUGAAAGUUCUUCUAUUUUAAUUAAGCUUACCUACAGCUAUGUGUAUACUGGCAGAUGUACUACUUUCACCUUUUAAGCAUGUCUUUAUUGCCUGAAAUAAUUGCUACUUAAGAGCUCUUAUCAAACCUUGCAAUGCCUGCCUGAAUUUGCCACCUGAUUGGAUGGGACAAGAUCAACAGGCAAUGGAUUUGUUAAAUGUUGCCGUUGUUCUUUGCUGGCUUUGUCAUAUGAAAUUUGCAAAAAUAAAAGACAACAGCAACAGCAAAUGAACAAACAAAAAAGAAAACAACUUCCCACCACGUAACCUACAUUUUCCACUUCUGUAUUUUGCAAGAGCACUCAUACCAGAAGUUGUGCAUCAGAAUUUAAUACAUAAAGUUCCUCUUUAUCAUAUGAAUUCAAUUUUCCAAAAGAAGGCAAACAUUACUAUUAAUAACUGAGAUACAAGGCCUGAAAAGGCUAAGUCUGAAUGUGCUUGCUGCAGAAAAAUGCCAUCUUGUUGGAUCCAGUUCUGGAAUCAUUACUUCGCACAAUGCAGAGCAGGCAGAGAUUUGCAUAGAAGGGCUCUGCUGGGUUAAGGUGAUGCUCACUCCUGCGUGACAGAAGCAUGUGGGUGCAGAGCUGAGCUGCAAGGAGCUCUGUGUGCAGACCAAGUAAAUUGUGCUUGUGUUGGCACGGUC
Non-coding RNA from Meleagris gallopavo (turkey), 3219 nucleotides. The record is from RefSeq and is a predicted model, not a curated record. NCBI's taxonomy places the organism in Eukaryota, Metazoa, Chordata, Aves, Galliformes, Phasianidae.